GCUGGCUGGAGAAAGUCAGGCUCUGGGCUGCAAUCCUGGGUUGCUCUUCCCUUCCUUGUUGCCUUUCCCUGCCAAUGUGGCUGAGGCUGCGGGGCUCCUGGGGCCUCUCCUCCCAGACUUUCAGGGACAGGCUCUGGAUGUGGUCAGGGAUCCCUAGGCUGGAGGGCAGGAGACUUCCGUUGCUGUCCCUUAUUCCUGCCAACCAGGCUGUCGGUGGUAGCCGAGCACUGCCCCAGCCUGACCAGGUUGCCUGGCAGUGUGGGCUCUGGCUGGGCAGUUUCCGGCUCCAGCUGUCCUUACCAGAAAAACGGGACACAGGUUUGAUCCCUGAUCCGGGCAGAUCCCACAUGCAGAACAACUAAGCCCGUGUACCACAACUAUGGAACCUGCACUCUAGUGCCUACAAGCCGCAGCUACUGAUCCCACGCACCUCAAGCACUGAAGCCUGCACCCCAGAUCCCUGUUCCACAACAAGAGAGGCCACAGCACCGCAGCUAGAGAGCAGCUCCUGCUCGCUGAAACUAGAUAAAGUCAGGGCAGCAGUAAAGACCCAGCUCAGCCAAAAAUAACCCAGCUGUCUGUGUAAUGACUUCCUUCCCUCGGCCUUGUUCACUGAGGUGUCCCUGGGCGACCAGCUGAGUCACCACAUUCCUUGCAGCUUAAAACACUGGCCCAAGCACAGGGGCCUGGCUCCUUCAUGUAGGUGGGACCUUUGAAGUCUGCUGGAGGGUGCGGAAAGACAGGCUACAGAGCUCCCAUCUCUCACCUGUACC
Bos taurus (domestic cattle) is the source of this 773-nucleotide long non-coding RNA. NCBI's taxonomy places the organism in Eukaryota, Metazoa, Chordata, Mammalia, Artiodactyla, Bovidae. The record is from Ensembl.